Molecule: long non-coding RNA, 1172 nt
Organism: Nicotiana attenuata
Lineage: Eukaryota; Viridiplantae; Streptophyta; Magnoliopsida; Solanales; Solanaceae
Exons: 2
Source: RefSeq, a predicted model, not a curated record
UUAAUUAAAAAAAAAAGAAGAAAGAAAAGAAAAAAGAAAAGAAAAUUUGAAAUAAAGAAAGAAAUUAAAGAAGUGGCUCAUUUCUGAAACUUCGGCCAGUUUUUGCACCCAAAUUCGGCCCAAUCGUUCCCCCCACAUAAUCCAAUUAAUCCCCAGCCCAAACCUUAACCGCCCCAGUCCGAAUAAAACCGAACUAACCCAUUAUUUUGACCCGUCCGGUUCCCUUAAUAUAAAAUCCCCCUUAUAACUUUUCCCCAUCAAACCCUAAACCUAGAGAAAAUCAGAAACGACGCUAGGGUGUACUGUUCCUUCAUCGUCUUCCUCUUCAACUCACCUCAACUCGCCCGAGCUCACUCAUUGGUCCCCUCCCCUCCACGUCACCUCUAUUUCCAACCGGAUUUGUCAGAAAAUACGAAUAUUCUCUCCCAAAUCAUACGAUUUCGGGUACGAAAGGAUAAUUUGUUGGAUGAAUGGGAGCCGUGGAUAGAUGUGAAAUCAAUCCACGCCCUCCAUUUGUCCCAAAAAUUGUUCAAAGACCUGAAGAUUUUUUGGAUUUUUGGGCAGAUUUUUGAAGAUUUUGAGGGCUAUAUAUAUACAAGGUAAGUCUGUGUGCUAGGUUAAAGAAAAAAGAUCGGAGAAAAAUCUUCAAAAUUUAGUCGAGUAAAAAUUUCUAGGUUUUGGUCAUUCUCUUUUGACCUUUUCCUUUCCAGUCGAUUUUUUAGAAAACAUAAAAAAAUGACUCAACUUCAGUUGUGAAAGCCGGAUUCGAUCUCAUUUUUUCUUUGCUGGGGUUUUUGACUGCUGACAUUUGCUGGUUUAACUGAGGUCUUGAGGCUAUCUGCUGCUAUUCUUCUGUCGUUUGGGUUUGCUGAGUUCAUCCAUUGUUGGUUGUUCUUAGCCUUUAUUUGGGCAAAGGUUCAAUUUUGGUUGCGAAUUUAGCCCCAUUCGAUUUUACAAGAGUAGCCUGUCCCAUCUUAUAGCUAAUUCAAUUGCAUUUGUGCUUUCAAGUGUUCAAUUGAUCUCAUUACUUCUAAAAGUUUAUGGAUGCCUAUGUGACUGUACUGAAGCAACAGACCUUUUUAUUUCUUGCUGCCUGCCUCAGCUGAGUGAUGUUGAAAAUUCUUGUUUCCAUUUUGAGCAUGUAUAUUUGAGUUUGAAUUAUUUUAUCAUUA